This is an RNA transcript of Humulus lupulus (European hop), 1145 nucleotides long. RefSeq lists it as uncharacterized. The transcript is spliced from 6 exons. The record is from RefSeq and is a predicted model, not a curated record. Lineage: Eukaryota; Viridiplantae; Streptophyta; Magnoliopsida; Rosales; Cannabaceae.
ACUUUUGUAUAAUUUAAUUUGCAUCUCUAAAGAUGAUAUGUUGUGAAAAAAAUGAUGUAUAGCCUAUGAAAUGCCCAUGUCCCAAUCGAAUAGCGUUCUCAUACUCCAGUCAUGCACAGGUAUCAUGUAUCUUAAAAUAUAUAUGGAUAGAUUAAAAGACGUAAUAAAAUCAAACGAGAUGUCUGAUUUUCCUUAUAUGCACAGGUUAAUGUUUUUCUGCUCUUUUUCUUGACUUUAGUAAAGCUGGGGUGGGGCCACAGAUGCUGUCUCCUCUUUUCUAUUGCCCUUACCAUCUUAUGUAUCAUGUUAUCUCCCUAGUCCAAUUUUCUUCCGUCUUUACCACAGUUGAGUGUGUUUUUUUUUUCUUCUUUUUUGUUGCAGAUUAGAAUUAACAAGAGCUUUGUUUCAUCAUUUUGAGAGGUAAUCUAUAAACUAAAAUGCAAAACUGAGUCUCGAGGUGGACAAUCUGCAUAUUUUCUUCAAGAAUAUGAAGUAGAAACAGAUAAUUUUAUUGAGAUGUACCUUAGACCUCCUUCAGCCAGUGAAGAAGCACUGACAAAUGAUUGGAUAAAAGUGCGUCAAUCUGGUAUUAGAUAUUAUCUGUCUCUUGGUGAUCAAAGGAUUGUUGACAAGAAUUUCAUCAUCAGGCCAAAAGUUGAGUUUGAGCAGGUUGGAAGGAUGACUUUAGGUGGGCUGCUUGCUUUGGGGUACAAUGUAGUUGUCAGUUAUAAAUGAGCAUCUACAUCAGUGAAUAAUGACAAUGUAUCUAUUUCACUUGAAACAAUUGAUACUCUUGGUGAGACAUUCAUGGUGCUGAGGGGUACAAAUCGAAAAUUGGAAAUGAAGCAUCAAAGAUGGGCGUUAGUGGACCGUGGCUCACUAAAUCAUAUCUUAAAAUGAGUAUGGAUAGAAAAGGUGUACCUCGUCUUAAUACACCUCCACUUUUGCCUAAUACAUCUCUGGCCACUGGCCAGCAAUCAAGACAAGACGAUAAUUUCACCAAGGCCAAUCCGGGUUACUCCGAAUCUUGUUAAUAAGCUUGAGGAUCUAUCUCAGCCAUGGACUCGAUCUCCAAAAAAAUAAAAAAUGGAACCUGUAGUGGCAACAUGGCAUUUCAUUUCUUCAGACCCUCCUGGAGAUAGCUC